CUUCUCUACGGUCUCAUCCUCCCAGAGUGAAGCCCAGGCACGAUGCUCAGAGGCCCUUGGGUAAGUACCUCUUGUAGAAAUCAGCGAAUGACCCACCGUCGAGGGCUGGCGACUUGAGCCUUGUGGGACCCAGAAGUGCCCAGGGGGUCACAGUAAGAAAUGGCCUCUCUUCUGGGGCCAGGCCACCCUAGGCACUUUGCUUCAUUUCACUGAUGCCCCUAGGAGCCUACUCGCCCAUGGGGAGUCCAGGGCCCCUGUUCCUCAGCCCCAGAUGGCCCUCUCCGGUUUGUAUGAGGACAGGGCAGAACCCCAGCAGGUGAGCAGUGGGGGGACCCUUUGGGCAGGGUCUCUGGGGACAGGGACCCCUCAAUCUCGACAGCCCACCCAUCCAGACGGCUGCCUUCUGCGUGCUCCUCAGACACAGCUACCCUGCCCUUCGGUAACGGUAACGGGGGAGCUGCCCAGAAACCACAGAGCGUAAUCAUAGCUGCAGGGCCCUUGAAAAAUGGCUGGGAAGGGCCGGCUCAACUCGCAGGUGUAGGAGGAAGCACAGACUCUUGACCUCGGAAGGCCUGUUCCUGCUAGGUUCCCUGGCCUCCUGUCCAAGAUGUCCCCGGCUCACCAUCCCGUGGCCCCACCUUGUUUGAUUUUGAUGGUACGUGUCACCCCUGAAAUGACGGUGCUUCUGGUGUUUACAGUUGAGUGUUGUCUCCUCGCAACUGAGAGGGGAUAACUGGACACAGACGCGCGGAGAAGGCCGUGUGAAAUGGACGCGGGGUUCGGAGCAAUGCAUCCCUGAGUCGAGGAACACUACAGCUUGCUGGAGCCACCAGAAGCUGGAAGAGGUAGGAAGGAUCCCCUCCUAGAGCUUUCAGACAGAGCACGGAACUGCCGACUCAAAGUCCUGCUGAUCCUGGACUUCUGGCCUUCGGAACUGACAGAGAAUACAUUUCUGUUGUUUUGAGCCA
Herpailurus yagouaroundi (jaguarundi) is the source of this 968-nucleotide long non-coding RNA. RefSeq lists it as uncharacterized. NCBI's taxonomy places the organism in Eukaryota, Metazoa, Chordata, Mammalia, Carnivora, Felidae. The record is from RefSeq and is a predicted model, not a curated record. The transcript has 2 exons.